RNAcentral lists this non-coding RNA (28 nucleotides) under Homo sapiens (human). Lineage: Eukaryota; Metazoa; Chordata; Mammalia; Primates; Hominidae. The record is from RNAcentral.
UACAGGCCAAAACUGUCCUCAGGUCAGC